RNAcentral lists this microRNA (23 nucleotides) under Schistosoma japonicum. Its description in RNAcentral is "miRNA-3115". The record is from RNAcentral. Lineage: Eukaryota; Metazoa; Platyhelminthes; Trematoda; Strigeidida; Schistosomatidae.
UUCUGGAGUAACAUUUUGCAUUU